GCAGUGUACCCGCGGCAAGACGGAAAGACCCCGUGAACCUUUACUAUAGCUUGACACUGAACAUUGAGCCUUGAUGUGUAGGAUAGGUGGGAGGCUUUGAAGCGUGGACGCCAGUCUGCGUGGAGCCGACCUUGAAAUACCACCCUUUAAUGUUUGAUGUUCUAACGUGGAUCCGUAAUCCGGGUUGCGGACAGUGUCUGGUGGGUAGUUUGACUGGGGCGGUCUCCUCCUAAAGAGUAACGGAGGAGCACGAAGGUUGGCUAAUCCUGGUCGGACAUCAGGAGGUUAGUGCAAUGGCAUAAGCCAGCUUGACUGCGAGCGUGACGGCGCGAGCAGGUGCGAAAGCAGGUCAUAGUGAUCCGGUGGUUCUGAAUGGAAGGGCCAUCGCUCAACGGAUAAAAGGUACUCCGGGGAUAACAGGCUGAUACCGCCCAAGAGUUCAUAUCGACGGCGGUGUUUGGCACCUCGAUGUCGGCUCAUCACAUCCUGGGGCUGAAGUAGGUCCCAAGGGUAUGGCUGUUCGCCAUUUAAAGUGGUACGCGAGCUGGGUUUAGAACGUCGUGAGACAGUUCGGUCCCUAUCUGCCGUGGGCGCUGGAGAACUGAGGGGGGCUGCUCCUAGUACGAGAGGACCGGAGUGGACGCAUCACUGGUGUUCGGGUUGUCAUGCCAAUGGCACUGCCCGGUAGCUAAAUGCGGAAGAGAUAAGUGCUGAAAGCAUCUAAGCACGAAACUUGCCCCGAGAUGAGUUCUC
RNAcentral lists this ribosomal RNA (753 nucleotides) under Salmonella enterica subsp. enterica. RNAcentral's name for it is "partial 23S ribosomal RNA". It matches the Rfam family "Bacterial large subunit ribosomal RNA", at positions 2061 to 2813 of the family's 2925-position model. The record is from RNAcentral. Lineage: Bacteria; Pseudomonadati; Pseudomonadota; Gammaproteobacteria; Enterobacterales; Enterobacteriaceae.